GGGGAUUUAGCUCAGUGGUAGAGCGCUUGCUUAGGAAGCGCAAGGCCCUGGGUUCGGUCCCCAGCUCCA
Non-coding RNA from Rattus norvegicus (Norway rat), 69 nucleotides. NCBI's taxonomy places the organism in Eukaryota, Metazoa, Chordata, Mammalia, Rodentia, Muridae. The record is from Rfam.